Molecule: ribosomal RNA, 482 nt
Filed under: uncultured bacterium
Lineage: Bacteria
Description: partial 16S ribosomal RNA
Rfam family: Bacterial small subunit ribosomal RNA
Source: RNAcentral
AUUGAACGCUGGCGGCAUGCUUUACACAUGCAAGUCGAACGGUAACAGGCCGCCAGGUGCUGACGAGUGGCGCACGGGUGCGUAAUGCAUCGGAACGUGCCCAGUCGUGGGGGAUAACUACUCGAAAGAGUAGCUAAUACCGCAUACGAUCUAUGGAUGAAAGCGGGGGACCGUAAGGCCUCGCGCGAUUGGAGCGGCCGAUGUCAGAUUAGGUAGUUGGUGGGGUAAAGGCUCACCAAGCCAACGAUCUGUAGCUGGUCUGAGAGGACAACCAGCCACACUGGGACUGAGACACGGCCCAGACUCCUACGGGAGGCAGCAGUGGGGAAUUUUGGACAAAGGGCGCAAGCCUGAUCCAGCAAUGCCGCGUGCAGGAAGAAGGCCUUCGGGUUGUAAACUGCUUUUGUACGGAACGAAACGGCUCUGGUUAAUACCCGGGGCUAAUGACGGUACCGUAAGAAUAAGCACCGGCUAACUACGUG